GGAGUGGGAGGAAGGUGGAUCAUUCUUUCGCAUGACAAAUACAACCCCUGUAAUAACCCAGAAUAAAAAAAUAAUAAAAAAAAAAAUAGAGGAGGAGGAAGACUCCUAACCGGAGUCUUCUUCCUCUCCGUUUAUGACGAAAUCGGACCGAUAGAGUCCGAUCAGAGGUAGAAAAUCUCUUCUAUAAAAUCCUCCUCCCCUCCCUUAUGUCUCUGCAAUUGGUUUUGGAGAGAUUUUUAAGAAAUUGAGGGAUUUUUUCAAGAGGAUCCGCGGGUUCUUAGACGGGAAAAAGGAGUUCGCCAGAGCUCUUCUCAACUGCUGGAGCAAGGUAAGCCCCUCCCCUUCUUCCUCUCCC
RNAcentral lists this long non-coding RNA (355 nucleotides) under Elaeis guineensis (African oil palm). RNAcentral's name for it is "long non-coding RNA (EGUI_LNC005790)". The record is from RNAcentral. Lineage: Eukaryota; Viridiplantae; Streptophyta; Magnoliopsida; Arecales; Arecaceae.